AGUAUAAAUUGUAAUAGUAGAUCUACUAAUCUUUUCACAGGGUUAGCAGAUGGAGAACGCCUAGAAAAACCCUCAGAUCCUCUUCCAGUGAGAGGAAGGAAUCUCAGUUCCUUACAUCAUUAGCUGCUGGACAUCUUUGUCAGUCAUUUAAAGAGUGAAAUUAUGAGUGACCUAUAUACAUGUAUUUUGACAUUUCCAAGAGAGGAAAAAAGGUGCACCUCAAGCCUUUGGUCUGGAGAAGGGUUCAUGAGCACUGCAUCCUAAAGUUUAAGAAGAAGAAAGGUUAAUACAGGAAAAGAGAACGUUGCUGUCUUUUGCCAAAUCACAGGGAAGAAACAUACUUUCUACAUCUGGAAUCCAGACGUCUCUUCUAUUUGGAAUAAUACACUGUUUUGGUGAUAUACCAGCUAGGGACAGAGCAAACUGGAAGUCAUACAGCUUUGUCAUCAAUGGGAGCAUACCAUGUUAGUAAGUCUUUUUAGUUUGUUUUUUUUUUCUUCUUCUUCUUCUUCUUUGAAUGAUAUUA
Dromaius novaehollandiae (emu) is the source of this 526-nucleotide long non-coding RNA. RefSeq lists it as uncharacterized. The transcript has 3 exons. The record is from RefSeq and is a predicted model, not a curated record. NCBI's taxonomy places the organism in Eukaryota, Metazoa, Chordata, Aves, Casuariiformes, Dromaiidae.